CCUAAAAAGCUCUAUAGAAAAGAAGACCGAAGCUCCACUUUCUCUGUCCCUCUUCUCGAUUCUCUCUGCAAAAGCUCCAUUACUUUAUCAAAUUUCUCAAAUUGAACUUUUCACUUUUGUUUAAUCGCAAGAUAUGAACCUAAUUUGUGAAACCCAAAAGCCCUAACACCAUUUGUUUUCUCAAUUACUCAAACCCCAAAUCCUUUUGGGUGUUAAAUGUAGUUAGCGAGAGUGACUAUUUCAUCUAUUUUACCUCUAAUUUCUUUAACUCGCACGAAAUCUACAGGGGGUAAAAAGUAAUUUUUCCAAUAAUAUCAUCGUGUAAAGCCCUUCUCGGUGUUGACGUUCUCUUUCGCUGGGGACGAGGUUCUUAAACAAUGGAGACAACCAAGGAUGGGCUCCAAGGCACAUAGUAUUUUGUUCUUUUGGGAUGUAUAUGCAUACAAUGAGAAUGAAGUAUUAUGCAUUAUAUAUGUAAUUCACAUUUUAGUAACAGAAGUAUUUAAAAUCCGACUUAAGAAA
This is a long non-coding RNA of Nicotiana attenuata, 522 nucleotides long. RefSeq lists it as uncharacterized. The record is from RefSeq and is a predicted model, not a curated record. The transcript is spliced from 2 exons. Lineage: Eukaryota; Viridiplantae; Streptophyta; Magnoliopsida; Solanales; Solanaceae.